CAAAAUUUACUAAUCCAACUUCUGUAUUUCCCAACUGAUCUUAAUGCAAAUUGGUGGGAAUCAUAGCUGUUUCUCCUCAUAUAGUGUGUGGCCUAAGCAUCACGAGUAUUCCAGAAUUUACUGGCACCAUCUAGUCUAGGUGAUCACCAUAUUGGCACGACAUGUCGCUGCAAUGGGCCUUAUUAAUAUGCAACAGAGAAAUUUAGUGGACAGGCCAGACAAAUCUUGCUCGAAGGCCACAUGUGGCCCACGGGCUGGGGGUUGCCCAUCUCUAUUGUAUGCUUUAACUUGCCACAAAAUCAACUUUCCUGCUUCUUCAAAGAAAGUACUACAAGAGCAACUUGUGAUAUUUUCUUUGAAGAAGCAGGGAAAACCAAAAAGCAAG
This 385-nucleotide long non-coding RNA is filed under the name Androctonus crassicauda. The record is from RNAcentral. Lineage: Eukaryota; Metazoa; Arthropoda; Arachnida; Scorpiones; Buthidae.